UGAAGCCAAGCUUGCUUGGUGGAUCAGUGGCGAACGGGUGAGUAACACGUGAGCAACCUGCCCUGGACUCUGGGAUAAGCGCUGGAAACGGCGUCUAAUACUGGAUAUGAGACGUGAUCGCAUGGUCGUGUUUGGAAAGAUUUUUCGGUCUGGGAUGGGCUCGCGGCCUAUCAGCUUGUUGGUGAGGUAAUGGCUCACCAAGGCGUCGACGGGUAGCCGGCCUGAGAGGGUGACCGGCCACACUGGGACUGAGACACGGCCCAGACUCCUACGGGAGGCAGCAGUGGGGAAUAUUGCACAAUGGGCGGAAGCCUGAUGCAGCAACGCCGCGUGAGGGAUGACGGCCUUCGGGUUGUAAACCUCUUUUAGCAGGGAAGAAGCGAAAGUGACGGUACCUGCAGAAAAAGCGCCGGCUAACUACGUGCCAGCAGCCGCGGUAAUACGUAGGGCGCAAGCGUUAUCCGGAAUUAUUGGGCGUAAAGAGCUCGUAGGCGGUUUGUCGCGUCUGCUGUGAAAUCCCGAGGCUCAACCUCGGGCCUGCAGUGGGUACGGGCAGACUAGAGUGCGGUAGGGGAGAUUGGAAUUCCUGGUGUAGCGGUGGAAUGCGCAGAUAUCAGGAGGAACACCGAUGGCGAAGGCAGAUCUCUGGGCCGUAACUGACGCUGAGGAGCGAAAGGGUGGGGAGCAAACAGGCUUAGAUACCCUGGUAGUCCACCCCGUAAACGUUGGGAACUAGUUGUGGGGACCAU
Molecule: ribosomal RNA, 749 nt
Filed under: Microbacterium aurantiacum
Lineage: Bacteria; Bacillati; Actinomycetota; Actinomycetes; Micrococcales; Microbacteriaceae
Description: partial 16S ribosomal RNA
Rfam family: Bacterial small subunit ribosomal RNA
Source: RNAcentral